GUGCCAGCAGCCGCGGUAAUACGAAGGGGGCUAGCGUUGCUCGGAAUCACUGGGCGUAAAGGGCGCGUAGGCGGCCGAUUAAGUCGGGGGUGAAAGCCUGUGGCUCAACCACAGAAUUGCCUUCGAUACUGGUUGGCUUGAGACUGGAAGAGGACAGCGGAACUGCGAGUGUAGAGGUGAAAUUCGUAGAUAUUCGCAAGACACCAGUGGCGAAAGCGGCUGUCUGGUCCGGUUCUGACGCUGAGGCGCGAAAGCGUNGGGAGCAAACAGGAUUAGAUACNCUGGUAGUCC
Molecule: ribosomal RNA, 291 nt
Filed under: uncultured microorganism
Description: partial 16S ribosomal RNA
Rfam family: Bacterial small subunit ribosomal RNA
Source: RNAcentral